This is a non-coding RNA of Styela clava, 66 nucleotides long. The record is from the annotation of a RefSeq genome assembly. Lineage: Eukaryota; Metazoa; Chordata; Ascidiacea; Stolidobranchia; Styelidae.
AAUCUAUUAGUAUAAAGAGUAUAGGUAAUUUCCAAUUAUCUGGUAUAGUUGAGGUUAUAUAGAUUA